CUCCGGCAUCUCAGAGUAUUUUUCUUUCCUCCCCCAAUAUUAAUGAAAAAGAAAUCAAACUUUUGCUGGCUUCACUUAGUUCCUGACUUUCAAUCAGAUAAAUUUGUGACCUGAAUAUUUCCUUCUCCUCUUUCAGUAUUCAUGAAGGAUCGUUUGUGGCCGGGCUGGUGGAUUUAAGCAUUUGUCUAGUUCAGGAAAGACAGAUUUAUUCCUUGGGAGUUGUGUGUAUCUUACAACCUACAUAUUUCUGCCCCUCCCCUGCUUUCUCCAUCCUUUUUUCUGUUUUUAGAUUUAGAGGGCAUCAUUUUUUUUCUGGUUUGUUGUUAGUACAAAGUUAAGGAGUUUGGGCUUAAAAUACUUGUCUAGCUUCUCCCAUAGAUACCUUGCUCCCUGAGUUUUGCAGCUUGGUAUGGCUCAUUGAAAGUAGUCUGGACUGAAUUUGCUUAUUAGAAUGUUACACUUCUCUCCUGGGUCAAUUUUUAUCCACUUUAUCAAGUUACUUAUUCAUUACAGCUCUUGUCACAUGCACGUUAGUUUGCCAAGGAACUUAAAGAUAUGUCUUGUUUCUUGCUUAAGUAGGCUGGGAAUAUUGUGGACUCUAGCGCACCGGGGACCCCAGAUGCCCCGAUUUUUGAAACUGACUAUUCUUUCUUAGGCAUUGGGCUUGGAAUGAUAUUGGUUGUCUAGAACAGGGAAACAAAACAGAUAAGAAGUGCCCCCUGACCUCCCCAUUAAUUUUGUUCUCUGGAAAUAUGUAGAGGCAAUUUCAUCUUGAAUGAAGGGAACAGAAAGAAAGUAUUGGGGUGGAAACUUAAGACUGGAGGGGCCGGAUAGAACAGAUCCAAGUCCAGUCCAGCAGAGGAUGGGCUGGGUAUUUUUACGCCCAAGAAAAUAGUGAUUUGGAAAAAGGAAGGAGAAUAUGCUUUAUGCUGCUGUACCCUGUACCUGGACAGCUUUUCAAGAUAUUUGCUUCCUUUAAUUUGCAAUCAGAUAUGGAAAAGUCUGUCAUGAAAGCAGAACUCUAAUGAGCUUUAGUCUGAAGAUUUGGGACCCCUCAGCAGGUCAUGGACUAACCAAAAUACUGGGAUUCUUGCUGCCAUGGGAACAAAGAACACCUAGGAACAUGCUCAAAAUGGAAACAUUUAUUUUUCUAUUGAAUCUCGGCUUUGUACGUCCAAACGGUUGUUUCUAGGGCUUAAUCCAAGUAGAAUUGUGAAGCUGUCUUUGGUGCCAUCCUACCUCCAUUUUUAAAUAUCCUAACUCAAAGUAGUGAGUAGUGUUACCUAGAGAAGAUAUAAUUUGACACUUACUUAUAUUAAACUGAGAUAACAUUAUUUUAUGUGUUACUAGUAUUUUCUUCUAUCAAAGUGCCAAGAACUUGAAGGCAGGCUUUGUGCCUAGGGGAUGCUUGCAGUGGACAUUGGCUGUUAUGGGCUGCUCAGUCUCUUAACACUUUUCCUUGUUUUUAGGAAACUCAACUAUAAUAUCCAGCCUCCAAGAUAGCCAGCAAUGAUCCCUGUCUCCUGUCUUCAUGCCCUUGUGUGGCCCCCUCCCAUGUUGUCUUAGGGUUGGUCUGUGUGACCGAUAGCAUAUGGCAGAAGUGGUGGUUUGUGAUUAUGAGUCCAGGUCACAAAAGACAUGGUGGCUUCUGCUUUGCUCUUCCUUGGAUCUCUUCCUUUGGGGGAAGCCAGUUGCCAUGUUAGGAGCACAUGUAAGCAGCUGGUUGGAGAGGUCUACAUGACGAGGAAUGGGGCCUCCUGCCAAUAACUAGCUCGCCAUGUGCAUAAGCCACCAUGGAAGUGCAUCCUCGGCCUCUGCCAAGCUUUCAGACACAACCCUGGCCAACAUCUUAUCUGCAACUUCCUAAGAGGCUCUGAGCCAGAGGCACCCAGCUAAGCCACUUCCAGAUUCCUGACUCUCAGAAACUGGGGCUGCUUGGGCAAGAUUCUUAACCUCGCUGAACAUCAGCUUUCUCAUUGACUUGCUGUGAAAAGGAAAUGAAAUGAUCCACGGUUCCUGGUUCCUAAUCCUCCGGAGAUCCCUGUGCGCCUCUCAUCAGCUCCGAAUGCCCUCUGAGUGGAUCCCGGAUCCUACCUUGCUCUGUCUCUGGUGGAACAGAAGUUCAGCAAAACUUCAGCCAAUGAAAACUGGGCCACGAAGACUCUACAUACAAGAUAUUUUUACAAAGGAAAAUAAAGUGACUUAAGCACCCAUUUGGUCAAUUGACAACAUUUUAGUCCCUCUGCUCUGCUGGAGAUGGGGAACCUCUAGCAAGUUCCUUAACUUGUUUGGGUCUCAGUUUCCUCGCCCGUGACAGGAGGCUCACUGACCCCACAUCAUUUCUGGUGGCCCGUACAGGGACUUACUUCAUCGGCUUGUGAGCUCGAGUUCUGGUAAGUGCCCCUUUUCCUUGUGCCUUUCUCUUUUUCGAGGAUGGAUCUAAAUUCACUUCUCCAUUGGAAACUUUCUUGGAUGGCUGUAUGAAUUCAUGUUUGCUGCCCAUGGCUACUCUAUGGGGUAAAUCGUGGCAUUCAGCUUGAAGAGAAUCAGUACCUUAAGCCUCAGGGUGAUGGAGAAUGAAUUAAUCCAUUCCUUCCUGACUCUAUCUCUAAUAGACAAAUUUUACGUGGGCGCAGGUCUACCACUUAAGUCAUUAGGAUGGUCGCCAAUCUCCAAGACUCCUGUGGAAGGUUUCUUUUCCUAAGGCUGGAUUGGAAUCCCUCCCAUGGCACCUGACCAUGCUCUGAACUGAGGGAAAGUCCCAAUCGGGACUCCAGUUCAAGGAAAAUACCAAACUCUAACCUUUGGUGGAGUAUGGGAACCCCUUCUUGGGAGAAUGGCUCCAGGAUGCAAUUGGGUAGAAUGUCCCCCAGACUGGCAGAAAAUUCCUCACUGUUUUUCUCUAUCCUUUAUCCUGGGGACCAUUCACCAGGCACCUAUUACUGCCAGGCAUAAUAGGGAAGAUGUUCAAGGGAUGCCCCCAUCAUCCCUUGCUACAGGAACCCCAUUGGGGGGAUUUUCAAGGUAAUGGCUCCUUUUCUUUCAUCUCUCUUAAAGUUUUCCUUUUCUCUCAGGGACCAUUCACCAGGCACCUGUUAUUGCCAGGCAUAACAGGGAAGGUAUACAAGGGAUGCAAUGCCGGGGGAUGCCCCCAUCACCCCUUGCUAUAGGAACCCCACAGUAGGAACAAUGGCAGGAUGCUGCCCUAGGUUCAGGGGGGAUUUUUCAAGGUAAUGGACCUGUUUCUUUCAUCUCUCUUAGAGUUACAAUGGCCAUUUUUGUCUCCUUUUGAGCUUUGCAACCGGGAAACAAAGAAAUCUUUAAAGAGUCAAAGGCUCCACCCCUGGGAGCCCCAACUUUGGGUUUCUGGGCCUGACCACCCCAGCGACCCUAAGUGGGGGUGCCCUCUCUUGACGGUUAACUCAUUGAGUAUUUUAGUCACCUACUGAGUCAGUUAUGAGGGUAGGAGACCUGUGAUUUAUUCUGUGAACUGUCGUGCUAGGGUAGUGUGUCCCAGCACGGGAACUGUUGUGUGACUCUUAUCUUGAUAACCCUCUGGAAGAGGCCAUGAGGGCGAGGUCUGAUCUCUUCUUUUCCUUUCUUUGUCUGUCUUCUUCAUCACCUGCUUUGUUGUCACCAAGUCGAGGUUAAGUUCAGGCUGGACCUGAGCAGAACCUUGACCUUCUGUAAAAUUGAAAAAAUAAGCCUUUUGCCAGGGAUUUAACUCUCAACCCUGACGCUGGGAGCCCCGGCCUCCAGCCAGUUCCAGACCUUUGUGUCCUGCUUCCCUACCUCAACUGUGCUGGCUCGGAGACAAAGUGCCCAGGCUGAGCGGGACUUGACUAAAUCUUAUAACUAUGUCAACACCGGCAAUCAGCCUCUGCACACCCGCAAUUGGCCUCUGCACCCUUUCUCCAGCUGCUGUCAGUCAGACACAGGCUUUACUGUCACAGGGAAGGCCCCCUAAGUAUCCCCAGAGACCCACCCUGCGGAUGCAUUCUAACUCCAUCUGGGAGAAAAUUUGAGGGGUUUCUCUGUGCCUUUAUGAUGUAGUUGGACAGGUAGAUCAGCCUAGAACGUCAUUCAAGUUACAAUCCAGUUUCUGGGAAAUCAAGAGCAACUGUCCUUAGAAAAUCCUUGCAAGACUGGAAAUACAGCUCUAGAGGCAGUUCAGAUUCCACCUAGUUCCUUUAUCACAAAAAGGAUUAUCAUCUCCCCUCUCCAGGAACUACUAUCUAGCCUAUCAUUAAUUCCUAAGACUGAAGAAAAAAAAAAAGAGGAGGGGAGAGGAAAAACGGCCAUAAGCGUGCCCUUGCAGAAAGUCUAGCAUCUUGAGUGUCUUCUCCGCAAAUAUUGGUAAAAGAAACCAAAACAAUAGCUGUACAGUCUCUGUGUACGUGUGUCUAUGUGUACAUUAUAUGUGUGAUAUUUUACCUCCGGUUGGUAUUGCCAAAAUUAAGAGCUCUGUUCAAUUGGCUUAAAGUAAGCG
This is a long non-coding RNA of Equus caballus (horse), 4489 nucleotides long. NCBI's taxonomy places the organism in Eukaryota, Metazoa, Chordata, Mammalia, Perissodactyla, Equidae. The record is from Ensembl.